AAGUGAGUGAAUACCCAGCUGUUGGCAUUCCCAGAUGUGGUCCAGCAAGUCCAUUUAAAGGACACUUGAGUACCAAGAGUAAUGCUUUUUGCAUUGACUCCUCCCGAAGUCUAACCAGCCAGUACCUGAUCAGAGAUCACAUGGUGUUUCAUUAUAACAAAAUCCUUUCAGCCAAAGCAGCCGUAGACUGUUCAGUGCCCAAAAGUAGGUUGACCAGCAUCAAACG
This is a long non-coding RNA of Calidris pugnax (ruff), 226 nucleotides long. RefSeq lists it as uncharacterized. The record is from RefSeq and is a predicted model, not a curated record. NCBI's taxonomy places the organism in Eukaryota, Metazoa, Chordata, Aves, Charadriiformes, Scolopacidae. The transcript has 3 exons.